AGAUGAAUGAUGACGGCAGAGGGCAGAGAGCUUAGAGGACGCGGUACCAAGCCCCGUCCCUCGCCCAUCCCAACGAAGGUCUUAGAAUACAAUCAACCAACUACAGGAAGAAUUUGUAGAGGAGGUUUUCUUGUGUGUCUGCAUCGCCCCACCCACAGGUAACCCCAGAGCCAGAGAUGGAGUCUAGGAAGGUUUAGGAGCAAUCCCGGCUGAAUGCAGAUGUAUACCCUACGUGGUCAUGGAACACGAUGUUGUCUUCCUAGAGAUGUGACAUGCCAGUUUCACCAUUAAUCCAGGGACAGGACCCUUCAUCAGGAAGGGAAGCAUCCCAACAAAACCUUACAGCCCUAUUAGCUGCCUGUAUCCCAGACAUCUCCUGUUUUAGGGUAUUCUACCUCCUCGUUUUUCAGUUUCGCCAGCAACUGGGCUCUACCAAUAGCUUCAAGGAGGGAGAAGCUUCCUGACUCCCAGAACACUAGAAAAGCCUCAAGACAGUAGCCAUCAGGACCUCGACACUCCCUUGUGACUGUUUUAAGAUCAUGGAAAAGGCCUCUUUGGAGAUGGCAUUGCCUCAGGCCCUGUACCAUGUACUUAUGUAUCAAGAUUUAAACAAGGCAGACAUACUAUAAUUAGAGUGCUUGCCACCCUGAAGCUCCUUUUUAGCUUUCAAAUAAGACCGUUUUAUUAAAUGACAUAAUCACUGUUAUUAUUAGCACUAUCACUGACCUUUUUUUUUAUCUGAAAAAGGCUUUAUAGUGCCCACAUGUGGCAAUGUUAAUUUCGUUGUACUUGUUUCAGAGAUGAUAAAUUUGAGACCCCAAAAGGCCCAAAGUCUCUGCUAAGGUUCUGAUACAGGCUGUGUUCUCCAUUGGGUGGCCCCAGAGAUAUGUUCCCUGAAUUUCUAAAGCUACGACCCACAAGACUUCUCCAGGAUGAAUUUAUUCUUUCAGGCCUCCUAGGCAUUUAACUCAGGAAGAACCUGGCAUGCCUGGGUAUUGGUGAGACUGUGGGGAGUCUGUGUUCUUGGGGGAACCUGUCAUCUGUCUGUUAUCUCUUGGAUUGGUUCCCCUACAUACUAGUACAAAGUAGGGGUGGGGAGGGGAGGAUAACAAAACAUUUGAAGGUUUAGCAGAACUGUCUAAAAAGCCCCUAGUCUAGACUCCUCCAACACUUGAUUUAUUGGUAGGACCACACUGCUCCAGAGCUCAAAAUGUUACCAGGAAAAAUUUCAAGGUCCAGUUUGAUCUUAGACAAGGCUCACAGGCCACCUGUCUUGAAAAGAAUAUCCUGUUGCCUCUGAUGGGGGGGAAGAAAAGGCAGGGAGAGUCAGAUUCCCAUCCUUCAUACCAAAGUUGGGGCUAUAUUUAGCUUUGUCUCAAAUCAAAUUAUGGGCUACCGAGUUGUGGAGAGGAACUCUGUCUACAGGCAGCUCACUGGAUUCAAGAAAUGAUAGCACUAACUAGGUGAGCUGUGGGGUCUCAGAAGUGACGCUAGAAAAUACGUUCAUGUAUUUUUAAAAUAACUUUUUUCAAAAGUUUAUAGCACAUUCAUUGUAAAAACAUUUGAAAAAUACAGAAAGUUAUAUAGAUUACUCAGAAUACCCAGGGAUCUUCAAUAUUAAAAAUGUGUUGCAUUUUUUUCCCACUCUUUAAAAAAUGCAUCUUUUAAUCCAAACACCAACUCUUUCUUACACACAUGGGUAUAUUCUUGAGAAGAGAAAUUUCCUUGUUGUUUUAAAAAUUAUACUUAUUGUCAAAAGAACAAUUUUUUUGCGUUAGAUUUCAGAAGAAAAAUAUUCACCCAUAUAACCACUGCUACAGC
RNAcentral lists this long non-coding RNA (1821 nucleotides) under Homo sapiens (human). RNAcentral's name for it is "HSALNT0295572". Lineage: Eukaryota; Metazoa; Chordata; Mammalia; Primates; Hominidae. The record is from RNAcentral.